ACGUGCGUUGUAGUUUGACCUUUACGUGCGUUGUAGUUUGACCUUUACGUGCGUCGUAGUUUAGCCUUUAUGUGCGU
MicroRNA precursor from Ciona intestinalis (vase tunicate), 77 nucleotides. NCBI's taxonomy places the organism in Eukaryota, Metazoa, Chordata, Ascidiacea, Phlebobranchia, Cionidae. The record is from Ensembl.